Molecule: long non-coding RNA, 1390 nt
Filed under: Malus domestica (apple)
Lineage: Eukaryota; Viridiplantae; Streptophyta; Magnoliopsida; Rosales; Rosaceae
Description: long non-coding RNA (MDOM_LNC007823)
Source: RNAcentral
UUUUCAAAGGUUGAAUGAGUCAUACAUGGUUGGUUGGUUUAGUUUGCUGAUGUCAUGCUAUUACAUCCCUCCUUUAUCUCCUUACUUCUUUAUUUCAAGCUAGAAGUAGUGGUUACCACUGGUGAUGGUUUAUGAUCCAAGAAGAUAUUUUCUACUUGAAUAAUUUGAAGUAGUGUCUACUUGAUAACAAUACAUCUUAAAGAAAAAACGCGUCAAAUCCAAUAACUUUACGACAAAUUCAACUAACUUUUUAAUGGGAGAAGGACGCCAAAAGAAAAUACGCUAUGAGAGGCCAUAGCAUUGACAUUGAGUAAACAACUUAGUAAUUUACAAAAGCUUAGGGCAAUUUUCCAAAAAAAAUUAAAAAAAAAAGCUCAGGCCAAUCUGAGGCUUAGUUUGGUAUUGAGGUGAUUCUGAAAAAAAUUGGGAGCUGUUUUUGUGUUUGGUAAACAUUCAGUUUCAGCUUUUUUUCACAGUUUUGGAUGAAAAAAGCCAAAAACAAGAAGAUGCAAAACCCAGCUUUAAAAAAUCAGUUUUUUUUUCACAUCUGUUUUACAUAAAAGUUUACCAAACAUUAUAAUACUGUUUUUUUUUUUCAAAAGCACUUUUACAAAAAAAGUUUACCAAACAACUGUUUUAUUUCACAGCUGCUUAUUCUCACAUCACAUUAGAAACAAUUUUUUUUUCAAAGCACAACAAUACUAAACCAUGGAAGAAAAUACACUGCAAUGUUAGUUCAUUUGACCUACCACCCAAGUUCCCAGAAAGAAAACUGAACAAAGUGCCUACAAAGAAGCAUUUAAAAAAAAAAAAAAAAAAUUCCGGUACAAGCAAUGUUGUAGGAGGAAGGAAAAUCAAAGUCGGGACCUCAGGCGCAAGGUUGAAUGUCAUGAAACUAAACUACAAGCUCCAUGCCCUACAAAGAAAGGUUUAGGUUUAAACCAUUACCUUCUUUAUCUUCCUCUUUCUUAUCUUCUUCUUCUUCUUCUUCUUGUUUUGCUUUAGAGGAACCUCCUCCAUGAUGACCAGAAAUCUUAACAUCCUCAAGGAAGUCUUCCGGUUGAAAUGUCGGGUUCCAACCCCCGGCAGCCUUGCUGUCUUCCUUCUUCUCAUCUUUCUUCUCUUUCAACCCAUUUGAAUUGCCCCUGAGAAGCUGGCGCACCUCCCUCGUACUUCUAAUCAACGCAUAAAAUUUCUCAAUCUUCUCCUCUUCAUCCUCCAUCUUCCUCUUCUUUCCUCCUCCUUCCAUGGUUCUCUCUCUUAACCACCCCUUGCUCUGUGUGUGUGUGUCUGGUAUACACACACAUAUAUAUAAAAUGUAUUAUGUUUGUGUGUGUGUAGACGUAAUCACUUUGUUUUCUUCUGCAUUGCUUAUUUUCUCAACUUGUUU